Molecule: long non-coding RNA, 3637 nt
Organism: Taeniopygia guttata (zebra finch)
Lineage: Eukaryota; Metazoa; Chordata; Aves; Passeriformes; Estrildidae
Source: Ensembl
CACAAAAUUCCCCAAUUCCCUCGUUUGAGAAAGAAUUCACUCUAGUCAAGGCUGCAGACUUCCAAAUUUCUUCAUCACAUUUCUUCAUCGUUAUUUUGAAGUACAGUCACUUGAAGCUGAAAACACUCAGAUCUUUCCCCAUUACUUUACCUGUGAUGUUGUAAAACAUGGGGUGAUUAUUAGUUCAUAAUUAUAAAAAUUGCUUUAAUCACAAGUGUGGGGAAGGUAAACUAUGGAAACAUCUAUCCUUUUGUGAUAACUAACUCUCUUUGAACAACUUCUCACUUAGUGAACUGUCACAGCUGUAAAGGCCAAAGCAGAGCUUUGAGGUCUUGAAGUUAACAACUGUGAAUCAUAUAAAGACCAAAAAGGUGAGUAAAAGGAAACUCAAUACAAAGGCCCAUAAAAAAGGCCAAGGAAAAAAAAAUGUAGUGAGAACAAGACAAUUCCACAGAAUCAGGAGAAGACUGGUAACUUGGCAGAGACACGUUUGCAUAUUUUUAGGAGAAAUGGGAACCAAAUCCACAGGAUUGUCACAUCCCAUUGAGGACAUGUCCAGCCCCAGGAGCAGCCUCUCUAGCUACUUUCUCCUGCUGCUAGCAUUGUUUCCUUACAUCUGCUGGAUAUCCCUCGGAGUCUUUUGUUGCCUUCCCACCACGCUGAUGCUCAUGGCAAACAAGAGAGACAUUGUACAAUGCACGAUGUGUCUGCAUAAACAUUGCAAAUGAAAGGCUCCCGAAGAAAACCUGAAUCAUCUCUGUAAAGGUUGUGUUUAUGCUAGAAAGGAACACUGCUAUCCCCUGGGAGUGAAUGGGAUGGCAAGAAACAAAAAGUGGAAUAAAGUGUUCAAAUCACAGAAUUAUGGAAUCACAGAAUGAUUUCGGUUGGAAGGGACAUUUAAAGCCCACCCACUUCUACCCCUGCCAUGGGCAGGGACACCUUCCACUAUCCCAGCUGGGUCCAAGCCCUCUCAACUUGGCCUUGGACGCUUCCAAGGAUCCAGGGACAGCCACAGCUGCUUCUGGGCACCGUGUGCCAGAGCCUCCCCACCCUCACAGGGAAGAAUUUCUUCUUUAUAUCUGGCCUAAGUCAGUUUAAAGCCAUUAUCUCCUGUCCUGUCACUAUCUGCCCAGAUAAAAAGUACCUCUCUCCCUUAAAGCACUGGAAGGCUGCCAAUCCUGGUGCUUGAGCAAGGGAAGAAAGGACCCUGAGCAAUUCUGAUGAAAAAAGGAAGGCAAAAGGUUAAAGAUUUCAUACCCCACUUUAUGGAUUAUCCCCAUAUACUUCAGUUACCUGCUUGGCUGGAAUCAGGAAAUGCUCAGAAAAGCGGGCUCCAAAGCACACUUAGUGCUGGAAUAACAUCACAGCGCAGACCACCACCACUCUGAAUCCAUGGGAUUUCCAAGCGACACAGGAGCUGCCGAGAUGAAGCUCAGGAACCUCGCAGAUGAAACCCACCCUGCCCCUCGGCCCCCAGCAAUCCCAGGAACACAGAAAAAAGGCAAAGCAUUACAAGAAGUGUUUCGGGGCUGGGAGAGGAGCUGUGCACCGUGAUCCUUUGCCACAUGGUGGCACAGGCUGAUGUGAAAUCAACUCCAGCCAGGAAAGGUCUGGGCAGACCUGGGGUGGCAGGCUCAGUUUCCCUGGAUCUGUUCCUUCGGUGUCAGGCUCCAACUCAGCCCUGCAGCAUUAGAGAGUCAUUGUGCCCCCAGGAUCAUCACCCAACCCCAACUCACACUUCUGGGAAAGCAAGAAUUGUCCCUUUCCCCUUUUCACCCCUGGAGUUUUUCUCUCUAAGGAAAGCUCUUUUUCCUGGCUGUACCUGGGAGACUGCCCCCCAUGCUCAGCUUCACUGAGUUUUCUGCUGGUUCAUUCUCUGAAGUAAAACCCCCCUAUAAUUCAAAAUACAACUUUUCUGAGCAUUCCAGAAGCAUGGAUUUCUCUGUGCCAUGGUCCUGAGAGGUUGUCCCUGCUCAGCUUGUGACAGAAGCAGCCUUGCCCUCUCUGCAGCACUGCACAGGCACAAGUGUUUGUGCAGCUGCACCAUGAGCCCAACCAAGGACAGACUGUGGUGAAAACCUCAAAUUUUUCCUUAUUUCAGACAAGAAAGAGCAAAGACAGCAUUUAUUUUCAUGCCUUUGUGGUUGCAUCUUUACAACAAAACAAAGAGAGCUUUGCUUUCUUCUAUGAAUUUUACAAAUUCUUUGUGAAGCAUGCAAAAGAUUGUUUAUUCAUGUAAUUAUGUAAUGAUAAACACAAAGUUCGGGAACAGAUCACAUGGUGUGAUCAUAGCCAUGCUCAGCCUUCCAAGUUCAAGCCAGUCAAACCUUAAACACAUGAGAAUGAUAAUUGAUGGCAAAGGCACAAAUCUCUCUCUGUGGGACAAACACUUAAUGUGCUCCCUGCAGUUUAUUUAGAAAAUGAAACUUGUAAAUUUUAAUAACGUUUUCUCAUAGGCAGACACAGGGAAACCCUGUUCAAAUCUUUUGGAGGAAGACAGAAGGAGGAAUCACACAACCAUUUUUAGUUUUUUAGUUUAUAAAUCGAUAUUAUUGUAGGAAUAUGUUAUGCUGACAAAAAUCAAGACAUAUUUAAGACACUUCAGUACUGAUGGGAUUGACACAUUUUAAGAAGAAAGCCAUGUGUCUCCUAUGCUGACAACUCCUUCAGCUUAGCAGAAAGGAGUGACAGAAUUCUUUUCGGCAUUUCCACAAAGUUCCCAAACCUGUUUUUAUCUUUAAAAGAAGUCUAAAGUAUGUAAACCCUGCUAGUGUUUAAGUAAUUGAUAUACUAGGGACGCUAAUUCUAGGCGUUAGUGUACUAAUGUGGCUAAUGAGAUAGACAAAGAACACUGCUAGAAGUCUGUGAGUACCUUGAAAACCACAAUUUAAACUUCCUAAGUCUGUUAGCAGGCAAGCACUCCAAGAACACUCUGCUGACCCUUGGACAGAUGUUCCACCCCAGCUCACUGACGUGUGCAGAGGUUUAUGGCUCUCGCUCCUCCUUUAAUCAGCGACUGUAUAUUCAACUCCAGUAUUAAAAUAAACCAUUACGAACCUAUUCUGCUCUGUAUCCAAGACCUAAAUUGCCUUUCAUGCCUAUCAAAAAUCUUCAGCUAAGUCUCUCAAAACCCAGACCUGUGUCUGUGUGGCAUCUCCUUGAUAAAAUCCUUGCUGAGAUGUGGAUGGUGCAGGGGUUUGAAGCUGAAACCUUCGGGGUGUCAGUGCGACCGCACCUCCACCUGUAGGCACCUGGAAAACACGGUCAUUUGGACAUUUUCAAUUAAAUUCCCGACCUCUAACCAUUAAAACCCAACGGCCAACGAUUAAACAUUAAACUGUGUCAGUAAAACGGCACAGUUUAAUAUAAAUAUUCACACAGACACACCCAAACACGCACACUUGCCCCAGACCCUCACCUGCCGCUCUCUUUUCCCGAUCUCGCUCGCUCCCGCCUUCCCCGAAUCCGCUCCCGCUGCUCCCCCGCACCCCUCUCGGCUGCCCCUCCCCGCCUUUCCCGAUCCCGCAUGCGCGUUCCCCCGCAUCCCGCCUUUCCCAAUCCCGCUGCUCCUCGACCCCGCUGUUUCCCAAUCCCGACCCCGCUGAUCCUGACCUCGCUAUUUCCCGAGCCCGCUAUU